Molecule: ribosomal RNA, 258 nt
Filed under: uncultured Sneathia sp.
Lineage: Bacteria; Fusobacteriati; Fusobacteriota; Fusobacteriia; Fusobacteriales; Leptotrichiaceae
Description: partial 16S ribosomal RNA
Rfam family: Bacterial small subunit ribosomal RNA
Source: RNAcentral
UGGCGGACGGGUGAGUAACGUGUAAAGAACUUACCAUAUAGACUGGGAUAACAGAGGGAAACUUCUGAUAAUACUGGAUAAGUUAGAGUAGCAUUACUAAGUAAUGAAAGGUAGCAUACGCUAUAUGAGAGCUUUGCAUCCUAUUAGCUAGUUGGUGGGGUAAAAGCCUACCAAGGCGAUGAUAGGUAGCCGGCCUGAGAGGGUGGACGGCCACAAGGGGACUGAGAUACGGCCCUUACUCCUACGGGAGGCAGCAGC